This 427-nucleotide ribosomal RNA is filed under the name uncultured beta proteobacterium. RNAcentral's name for it is "bacterial SSU rRNA". It matches the Rfam family "Bacterial small subunit ribosomal RNA", at positions 355 to 774 of the family's 1533-position model. Lineage: Bacteria; Pseudomonadati; Pseudomonadota; Betaproteobacteria. The record is from RNAcentral.
UGGGGAAUUUUGGACAAUGGGCGAAAGCCUGAUCCAGCCAUGCCGCGUGAGUGAAGAAGGCCUUCGGGUUGUAAAGCUCUUUUAGUCGGAAAGAAAGAGUUGCAAUGAAUAAUUGUGAUUUAUGACGGUACCGACAGAAAAAGCACCGGCUAACUACGUGCCAGCAGCCGCGGUAAUACGUAGGGGGCGAGCGUUAAUCGGAAUUACUGGGCGUAAAGGGUGCGCAGGCGGUCUUGCAAGUCAGACGUGAAAGCCCCGGGCUUAACCUGGGAAUUGCGUUUGAAACUACAAGGCUAGAGUGCAGCAGAGGGGAGUGGAAUUCCAUGUGUAGCAGUGAAAUGCGUAGAGAUGUGGAAGAACACCGAUGGCGAAGGCAGCUCCCUGGGUUGACACUGACGCUCAUGCACGAAAGCGUGGGGAGCAAACA